GAUGAACGCUGGCGGCGUGCCUAAUACAUGCAAGUCGAGCGAAUGGAUUAAGAGCUUGCUCUUAUGAAGUUAGCGGCGGACGGGUGAGUAACACGUGGGUAACCUGCCCAUAAGACUGGGAUAACUCCGGGAAACCGGGGCUAAUACCGGAUAACAUUUUGAACCGCAUGGUUCGAAAUUGAAAGGCGGCUUCGGCUGUCACUUAUGGAUGGUCCCGCGUCGCAUUAGCUAGUUGGUGAGGUAACGGCUCACCAAGGCAACGAAGCGUAGCCGACCUGAGAGGGUGAUCGGCCACACUGGGACUGAGACACGGCCCAGACUCCUACGGGAGGCAGCAGUAGGGAAUCUUCCGCAAUGGACGAAAGUCUGACGGAGCAACGCCGCGUGAGUGAUGAAGGCUUUCGGGUCGUAAAACUCUGUUGUUAGGGAAGAACAAGUGCUAGUUGAAUAAGCUGACACCUUGACGGUACCUAACCAGAAAGCCACGGCUAACUACGUGCCAGCCGCCGCGGUAA
RNAcentral lists this ribosomal RNA (515 nucleotides) under uncultured bacterium. RNAcentral describes it as "partial 16S ribosomal RNA". It matches the Rfam family "Bacterial small subunit ribosomal RNA", at positions 28 to 523 of the family's 1533-position model. The record is from RNAcentral.